RNAcentral lists this unclassified non-coding RNA (376 nucleotides) under Yoania flava. RNAcentral's name for it is "partial external transcribed spacer". The record is from RNAcentral. Lineage: Eukaryota; Viridiplantae; Streptophyta; Magnoliopsida; Asparagales; Orchidaceae.
AAAUUGAGGUUUUUAAGAGUUGUUUGCAAUWUAAUUUAAAUUCAGGAUAUGAUAUUAAUUCUCGAUGAUUCUUCAUAAUUAGUCUUUGUCUAUAUUUUUUAGACAAGGAUAGUGCUUUGUUGAAUGCGAUCCUUUACUAAUUGUUUCAAGAAUUGUCUCGUUACAUUCUUGUUUCAUAAGCAGGUGAUAUGAGGUUCUCAUCAUAUUGUUGUAAAUGUGGCUCCUUUGAAAAUAGGUCUUGGUGUUAUUGGCACCUUGUUAGAAGCAAUUAAUUGAAAGAUGACAUUGCCUUGUCCUCUGUGCGACUUUGAUUUUUUCCCUCCCUUCCAUGUAGAUGGUUGUUGCGGAUGAGAUCAUAGUUGUGUUGAGGCCGUGC